AUACGGAGGGUGCAAGCGUUAUUCGGAAUCACUGGGCGUAAAGGACGCGUAGGCGGGAAGCCAAGUCUGAUGUGAAAUCCUAUGGCUUAACCAUAGAACUGCAUUGGAAACUGGUUACCUAGAGUAUGGGAGGGGGAGAUGGAAUUAGUGGUGUAGGGGUAAAAUCCGUAGAUAUCACUAGGAAUACCGAAAGCGAAGGCGAUCUCCUGGAACAAUACUGACGCUAAGGCGUGAAAGCGUGCGGAGCAAACGGGAUUAGAUACCCGAGUAGUCC
This 274-nucleotide ribosomal RNA is filed under the name uncultured bacterium. RNAcentral describes it as "partial 16S ribosomal RNA". It matches the Rfam family "Bacterial small subunit ribosomal RNA", at positions 523 to 796 of the family's 1533-position model. The record is from RNAcentral.